RNAcentral lists this ribosomal RNA (440 nucleotides) under uncultured bacterium. RNAcentral's name for it is "partial 16S ribosomal RNA". It matches the Rfam family "Bacterial small subunit ribosomal RNA", at positions 338 to 795 of the family's 1533-position model. The record is from RNAcentral.
CCUACGGGUGGCAGCAGUGGGGAAUAUUGCUCAAUGGGCGAAACCCUGAAGCAGCAACGCCGCGUGGAGGAUGAAGGUUUUCGGAUUGUAAACUCCUUUUGUUAGAGAAGAUAAUGACGGUAUCUAACGAAUAAGCAUCGGCCAACUCCGUUCCAGCAGCCGCGGUAAUACGGAGGGUGCAAGCGUUACUCGGAAUCACUGGGCGUAAAGAGCGCGUAGGCGGGAUAGCAAGUCAGAUGUGAAAGCCUAUGGCUUAACCAUAGAACUGCAUUUGAAACUGUAAGUCUAGAGUAUGGGAGAGGUAGGUGGAAUGCGUGGUGUAGGGGUAAAAUCCGUAGAGAUCAAGAGGAAUACUGAUUGCGAAGGCGGCCUGCUAGAACAUGACUGACGCUGAUGCGCGAAAGCGUGGGGAGCAAACAGGAUUAGAUACCCCUGUAGUC